CGCGUAGGCGGUCAGCACAAGUCAGUUGUGAAAUCUCCGAGCUUAACUCGGAAAGGUCAACUGAUACUGUGCGACUAGAGUGCAGAAGGGGCAACUGGAAUUCUCGGUGUAGCGGUGAAAUGCGUAGAUAUCGAGAGGAACACCUGCGGCGAAGGCGGGUUGCUGGGCUGACACUGAGCUGAGGCGCGAAAGCUAGGGGAGCGAACG
RNAcentral lists this ribosomal RNA (207 nucleotides) under uncultured bacterium. Its description in RNAcentral is "partial 16S ribosomal RNA". It matches the Rfam family "Bacterial small subunit ribosomal RNA", at positions 568 to 774 of the family's 1533-position model. The record is from RNAcentral.